AGAGACCACCACAGCCUGUGAGAGUCUCCAGUGGACAACGGUUGUCUGAUUGAGACUCUUCCUGGUGUGCUCAGAAAAACCUGUACUUUUUUUGUUUCAAUUAGUUUUAUAGACAUUUCAAGCUGGGGCCUGCAUUUUUUUGUGCAACCCUGGGGUUCAACAAUUUGAAACUGCUUCACACCAAGAGCAGAGAAACUCGCUCUGUGGUUAUCACCUCAGAGAGACACAAUACCCAAAACCUGAGAACAUUCGCCUUGUUUUGUUGGAGUCAACACAUCUGCCAGGUUAUCUGUCUUCAGUCAACAUGGCUCAUAGAAAUCCAUGCUGAAUUAUUUUUUAGGAAGUUCGGUUUUGUUGACGAUGGAGUUAAAUGUUAUUCGUGUUAAAGUGAGUCUUUAAGAAGAUGGCCGGCUGUGUUUCUACAUAGUUUUGACAUCUGUCUUCAUUUCUCAUUUUUCCUCUAAGAUGUUCUGCACAUAUUUGUCAAUUUCUGUGGUCUGACUCAGAGCACAGGAAGUGUGGAGGAGCUUGACCGGAGAAAGAGGCUGAGAACUGCUUCUCUUACCAAGGACCUUCCCCAAGCCAGGCAUCUCCGGAGAUGGUAUGGAGCCUGGGGUAGCUCGGCCAGGCCUUUGAUCACCAGCGAUGCCAUUGCUCUUCCCCGUUUCGCGUCUGCUGUGGCUUGCUGCUGAGGCUGCUUUCAGACCUCUGGAAUCAGAAAAGGAGGUGACUAUAUCAGGUUCAGCAGAGGACACAUCUGGAACCCCUUUCCUGCUGGAGUGGACAGUGGAGGCAGCGCCACAGUGGAUUUUCAUUGGUGUCUCCCCUGGCUGCCUGGUGGCUGCCUGUCAGAGCCAGCGCUUGAGAACGUGGCUGCUAGUGAAAGUGUUUAUGUGUUUAUGUGACCACAGGAGAACCUUCAGGAGUGAGGCUAACUCAUCUGUGCCACUUAAUGCCGGAGUAACAAAGCCCCCAUCCACUGAGGACGGAGAGAGCAGAUUGUAAGGAGAGAGCAGAUUGUGUGGAGAGGCAGGGGUUUCUGUCACGUAGAAAGCAUCUUGUACAAUGUCUGACACACAGCAAGUGACCAAAAUGUGCCAGGCUGGUCCACCCAGUGCUCUCCAAACACCGUGGUCGCUUGCAUCUGUGGGAUUUUGCUGGUGAUCCUUCCCUAUUUAUCUGAG
Molecule: long non-coding RNA, 1184 nt
Filed under: Homo sapiens (human)
Lineage: Eukaryota; Metazoa; Chordata; Mammalia; Primates; Hominidae
Description: non-protein coding lnc-GAS1-4:2
Source: RNAcentral